GGGGUCCUUGCUGCGGGAUCACAUUCACCCAGUGCUAUACCAGCUGCACUGGCUCCCGGUGGAGUACAGGGUCAGGUUUAAGGUGCUGUUUUUAACCUUUAAAGCCCUAUAUGGCCUAGGACCCUCGUACCUACGGGACUGCCUCUCCUAGUAUGUCCCAUGGAGGACCUUACAGUUUUCAAACAAAAACAUCUUGGAGAUCCCAGGCCACAGCUUUUUUCAGAUGUGGCCCCGACUUGGUGGAACGCUCUGUCACAAGAGACUAGGGCCCUGCGGGACCUGACAUCUUUCCGCAGGGCCUGCAAGACGGAGCUGUUCCGCCUGGCCUUUGGCCAAGGCACAGCCUGACCCCCUCCUUUGGUAAUCCUCACAGAACUCUAGCCCAAUGGUUGCCAUUAAUUCAAUUUGAACAAUUUAUAAUGAACUGAUUUUAGACUGCUGUAUUACUUUACUGUUGUUAGCCGCCCUGAGCCUGGCUUCGGCUGGGGAGGGCAGGAUAUAAAUAAUUUUUUAUUUUUUAUUUUUUAUUUUUUAUUAUUAUUAUCAUCAUCAUGAUCUUUGUUCACAAAUAGGUAUAAAGUGCUUGAGAAGAAAAGACUGCUGGAUGAACCCAGUCCAAACUUCCUGAGCUAAUAUAUGAAUUGAAAGCUGUUCAAAGGCUCUUCUAGUCCAGCACCCUGUUCCCACAGUGGCCAAAGAGAUGCCAGUGGGAAACCAGUAAGCAGGAUUAGAGCACAAGAGCCCUCUUCCAUAAGAACAGCCUACUGGAUCAGGCCGAUGGCCCACCUAAUCUAUUUUUUAUUUUUUUAAUGAUAUUUAUUAAGGUUU
Non-coding RNA from Podarcis lilfordi (Lilford's wall lizard), 828 nucleotides. Lineage: Eukaryota; Metazoa; Chordata; Lepidosauria; Squamata; Lacertidae. The record is from the annotation of a GenBank genome assembly.